Molecule: ribosomal RNA, 803 nt
Filed under: uncultured Nitrosomonadales bacterium
Lineage: Bacteria; Pseudomonadati; Pseudomonadota; Betaproteobacteria; Nitrosomonadales
Description: bacterial SSU rRNA
Rfam family: Bacterial small subunit ribosomal RNA
Source: RNAcentral
UAGAGUUUGAUCCUGGCUCAGGAUGAACGCUGGCGGCGUGCCUAAUACAUGCAAGUCGAGCGAACUGAUUAGAAGCUUGCUUCUAUGACGUUAGCGGCGGACGGGUGAGUAACACGUGGGCAACCUGCCUGUAAGACUGGGAUAACUUCGGGAAACCGAAGCUAAUACCGGAUAGGAUCUUCUCCUUCAUGGGAGAUGAUUGAAAGAUGGUUUCGGCUAUCACUUACAGAUGGGCCCGCGGUGCAUUAGCUAGUUGGUGAGGUAACGGCUCACCAAGGCAACGAUGCAUAGCCGGCCUGAGAGGGUGAUCGGCCACACUGGGACUGAGACACGGCCCAGACUCCUACGGGAGGCAGCAGUGGGGAAUUUUGGACAAUGGGGGAAACCCUGAUCCAGCCAUGCCGCGUGAGUGAAGAAGGCCUUCGGGUUGUAAAGCUCUUUCAGCCGGAACGAAACGGUCACGGCUAAUACCUGUGACUACUGACGGUACCGGAAGAAGAAGCACCGGCUAACUACGUGCCAGCAGCCGCGGUAAUACGUAGGGUGCAAGCGUUAAUCGGAAUUACUGGGCGUAAAGCGUGCGCAGGCGGUUUUGUAAGUCAGAUGUGAAAUCCCCGGGCUUAACCUGNGAACUGCGUUUGAAACUACAAGGCUAAAGUGUGGCAAAGGGGGGGUGGAAUUCCACGUGUAGCAGUGAAAUGCGUANAGAUGUGGAAGAACACCGAUGGCGAAGGCACCCCCCUGGGUUAACACUGACGCUCAGGCAACAAAGCGUGGGGAACAAACAGGAUUAAAUACCCUGC